Molecule: ribosomal RNA, 491 nt
Filed under: uncultured bacterium
Lineage: Bacteria
Description: partial 16S ribosomal RNA
Rfam family: Bacterial small subunit ribosomal RNA
Source: RNAcentral
AGUGAACGCUGGCGGUAGGCCUAACACAUGCCAGUCGAACGGCAGCACAGUAAGAGCUUGCUCUUACGGGUGGCGAGUGGCGGACGGGUGAGGAAUACAUCGGAAUCUACUUUUUCGUGGGGGAUAACGUAGGGAAACUUACGCUAAUACCGCAUACGACCUACGGGUGAAAGCAGGGGAUCUUCGGACCUUGCGCGAUUGAAUGAGCCGAUGUCGGAUUAGCUAGUUGGCGGGGUAAAGGCCCACCAAGGCGACGAUCCGUAGCUGGUCUGAGAGGAUGAUCAGCCACACUGGAACUGAGACACGGUCCAGACUCCUACGGAGGCAGCAGUGGGGAAUAUUGGACAAUGGGCGCAAGCCUGAUCCAGCCAUACCGCGUGGGUGAAGAAGGCCUUCGGGUUGUAAAGCCCUUUUGUUGGGAAAGAAAAGCAGCAGGUUAAUACCCCGCUGUUCUGACGGUACCCAAAGAAUAAGCACCGGCUAACUUCGUG